Molecule: ribosomal RNA, 120 nt
Filed under: uncultured bacterium
Lineage: Bacteria
Description: partial 16S ribosomal RNA
Rfam family: Bacterial small subunit ribosomal RNA
Source: RNAcentral
UUGCCGAAGGAACGGCCCGCGUCCGAUUAGCUAGUUGGUGAGGUAACGGCUCACCAAGGCGACGAUCGGUAGCUGGUCUGAGAGGAUGACCAGCCUCACUGGGACUGAGACACGGCCCAG